GCCUCUGUAGCUCAGUUGGUUAGAGCGCUGCACCGGAAUCGCAGGGCCGUAGGUUCAAUUCCUACCAUAGCCU
This 73-nucleotide transfer RNA is filed under the name Paramuricea clavata. It matches the Rfam family "tRNA". Rfam says of the family: Transfer RNA (tRNA) molecules are approximately 80 nucleotides in length. Their secondary structure includes four short double-helical elements and three loops (D, anti-codon, and T loops). Further hydrogen bonds mediate the characteristic L-shaped molecular structure. tRNAs have two regions of fundamental functional importance: the anti-codon, which is responsible for specific mRNA codon recognition, and the 3' end, to which the tRNAs corresponding amino acid is attached (by aminoacyl-tRNA synthetases). tRNAs cope with the degeneracy of the genetic code in two manners: having more than one tRNA (with a specific anti-codon) for a particular amino acid; and 'wobble' base-pairing, i.e. permitting non-standard base-pairing at the 3rd anti-codon position. The record is from Rfam by way of RNAcentral. Lineage: Eukaryota; Metazoa; Cnidaria; Anthozoa; Malacalcyonacea; Plexauridae.